This 319-nucleotide long non-coding RNA is filed under the name Malus domestica (apple). Its description in RNAcentral is "long non-coding RNA (MDOM_LNC000134)". The record is from RNAcentral. Lineage: Eukaryota; Viridiplantae; Streptophyta; Magnoliopsida; Rosales; Rosaceae.
AAAUCAAUCACCAUCCCUAGACCGAGAUUCAACACAAGGCUCGUGUUGAAUCUAAACAAAGGUUCAUAGUCAUCGUAAGGCCCUAAGGCAACUAUAUAGUCCAUCAAUGAAUGCAAAGUUUAUGUUAGUAGUAUCAUAUACUCUUGCUUUAAAAACCGUUUUAUAAGCAUAGUGGGAGUAUUAAAUACAACUAAAACAAUCAAAUGGACCAAUAGUUGUAAUAGGACCAAAAUUGUUUUAAUAUAGAUUAAAAUGAAUGUUUAUAUGUGAUGAGACCUAAAACCCUCAACCAAACCAUUAUUAAGUUGAUAAGCGUGAG